CACUUACUACUUUCAAUUUUGAUCUGGAGGAAAAUCUACCUGAACAUCCCACCCAGAUCAUUUUUAAAAUAAUCUAAUGACUAUGUGUUUACUGCAGUUGGAAAGAGGAUUGUAGAGUAAAAUCUGUAUAUUUGGAGGUUCCCUGAAAAGGUAGAAAAUUAAAUGAAGUAUUAUCAUGUGAAUACAACAAUUAUCAUAAAACAAACAAGUGUAAAGUAGGGGAAAUACUGACAUAUUUGAUUAUUGGCAGUAUUUUGUGAAAGGAUACAGGAAUGGGGGAUGUUAUCAACUUUAAAAUGUCAAGAAACCGUAUUUAUGAAUAUAUUUGAAAAGAGUCCUUCUCAGGAUGCCAAAAAUCUCAUACAGAAUUUCUUUUUAAAAUUCUAUUAGUACGUUUUCUUGUAGCAAUCUCUUAUUUUAGAUAAUAUACAGGGUAACUGAAGAAAUUUUAGGAGAACACUUUAAUACUUAAAGAAAAAUCUUUUUCUAUUACUUUACAAUAAUCGAUAGUUUGGCACUAUUAUAAGCAUUAAAGAAGAAACAAUGCUAAAUUAAAAAAAAAAGAGAGAAAACAGGAGUUCCUGUUGCGGCACAAAGGAAACAAAUUUGACUAGGAACCAUGAGGUUGUGGGUUCAAUCCCUGGCCUCACUCAGUGAGUUAAGGAUCUGGUGUUGCUGUGAGCUGUGGUGUAGGUCGCAGAUGCAGCUUGGAUCUGGAGUUGCUAUAGUUGUGGCGUAGAUUGGCAGCUGUAGCUCUGAUUCCCUAGCCUGGGAACCUCCAUAUGCCACAGGUGCUGCCCUAAAAAGAAAAAAUAAAUAAAUGAAUGAAUAAAUAAAUAAAUAUAGAAAAAAUAAAAAGAAAUAAUAAUAAUAAACAAAAUCAUAGAAUCACAUGUUUAAUCAAAUGGUCAGAAUAUUUGUUAAAGUGAUCAAUAAUGGUUGUGCUCAAAUUUAGAACAAAGGCAAACAGCUGAAAAUUCUCCCAUUCACCUCUCUCUGUUUUUGCUUCUUUUUCCAAAAUAUCUCUUGAACAAAAUGACAACAGUAUUCAAAGCAAGGGCUUAGCAAAUAUAAUUCUGGAGGGAUAAAAACACGAGGAAUAUCAUUACUUUAUACUUUUAUUGUCAUCUUUGCAUCUUCCUAGUGCUCUCAAAUUUAUCCUCUUUAUUCUAGACUGUUAUAAAAAUUUGCCUAUCAUUUAAAAAUAUCAAAUAAAUUAAUCCACACAGCAAAAGUAUUAACUACCACUUUCUAAGAUACUUGUAUGUAGGUUUAUGCUUACACACACACACAUCUUUAAUUUUAUAUAAACCAACCUUGCAAAAUCAGAAUUUUUUAUCAAUCAGGAAACUAAGGCUCAGAGAUGUUAGAUUCUUUGUGAAAGUCAUGCAGCUGGUGUAUCUUUGAACUUGUUUACUCUGGUUCAAUCCAUUAACAGGUGAAUUAUCUCAUACCUACUUUAGCAUAUACCAAAAUAAGCAUUAUAAAUUGUUUCUUCUCUGUAAAGCUAGUUCUAAAUUACCCCUACAUCAUUGUAUUGACUAUAAUGUUCAAAAUAUUUGGACAUUAAAAAGAACAUCAAAGUAUUCUUCUUUAUUUUAUUUUUUCUAGUUCCAUUGAUAAUAAUAGCUGACCUUAUUAAGGGAUGAUGAUCCUACAAUCAUUAUUCUAUACUUUCUAGGAACCAUUUCCCUCAAUAGUCACAACUCUAAUGAGGUGUCAUAUUAGUUAGACAGUUUCAAUAGUGAGUGACAAAAAGAAUGGAAAUGACAGGCUUUUACAAUGUGGAAAAAUUCUCUUUUAAGUAAAUAUAUGGGUAAGUUACGUAGGGAUGGUAUGAUGCCAAAAACCCAAGCUCCGAAAAGCUGGCAUAUGGUACUUUUCCCAUUUUGUUGGUCAUAAAACAGUCACAUGGGUAAAUGCAACAAAAAAGGAGCUGGAAAAUACAAUGUAAUUUAUGGAAGGCCAUUUAACUCAUUAAAAUUGGGGAGGCUGUAUCAAAAAGGGAUAAAAUACAAAAGGUAUUAAAAAAAAUCAGAAGCAUUCUCUAAGUAGGCAUAAUUAUUAUUCUUCUUUUCCAAAUGAGCAUAGUAAGACAAAGAGAUAUAAAGUAAUAUGCCUAAGGUCAUACAACAACUUGCUCCCUUCAGUUUUUGCUCACUUCACUGUGAAUGCUUAUUACAAGGUCAAUUUUAUCAUAAUGUCUGAUUUAUCUUCUGACUAUCUAUGUUUUUCCUUGAAUCAAAAAUCAUUCUGUCAUCUGCAAAGAUAGAUAGAAUAUGAACACAUAAAAGGUAAAGCAUCCAAAAAGUCAAGGGAGAGGAGGGGAAAAAAAGGCGAGGCCAAGAAUAAUUUAUUAUCAAAAUUAAGCUACCCUCUAUACAACAAAAUUAUCCUCAUAAAUGAAAAGGGGCACACUACUGAUGCAUGCAAUGACAUAGAUAAAUCACAAAAGCACUAUGUUAAAUGAAAGUAGCCAGACCCAAAAGGCUUCCUCCUGUAUGCUUCCAUUUUUAUGACUAUUGAAAAGGAAAACUAAUGAUAGAAAUCAGAUCAGUGGUUUGCCAGUGCCUGAGAGGGGAGCAGGGACAAUGACUGCAUAAAAGCAAGAAAAAANGCAAAAAAAAAACCCCAUUUUUUUUUUUUUUUUUUUGCCAUGCCCACCGCACAUGGAAGUUCCUGGCCAGGGAUCAACCUGUGCCUCAUCAGCAACCUGAGCUACAGUAGUGACAACACCGGAUCCUUAACCUGAUGAGACACCAGAGAAUUGCAAGAUGAAAAUAUUUUGAUAUUGAAAUAGCUAAAAAGUAUCCAUUUGACUAUAUAUAAAUAAUACUUCAAUAAUCAUGAAUUAUACAAAAACAUAAACUGUGUAAGCUAUCAGGUAGUCUUAGUCAGCUGAGGAUUACAAUUUGCCUCUGAGUUUCAUAAACUGAAUGUGAGAUUAAAAUAACCAGUUAUGGAGUUCCCGUCGUGGCGCAGUGGUUAACGAAUCCGACUAGGAACCAUGAGGUUGCGGGUUCGGUCCCUGCACUUGCUCAGUGGGUUAAGGAUCCGGCGUUGCCGUGAGCUGUGGUGUAGGUUGCAGACGCGGCUCGGAUCCCGCGUUGCUGUGGCUCUGGCAUAGGCCGGUGGCUACAGCUCCGAUUCAACCCCUAGCCUGGGAACCUCCAUAGGCCGCGGGAGCAGCCCAAGAAAUAGCAACAACAACAACAACAAAAGACAAAAAAUAAAAUAAAAUAAAAUAAAAUAACCAGUUAUAAGGUCAUCAGUGUCUUUGACAAUAAUAUGAAGAGAAAUAAUCUGGGCAAGGAUGAAAUAAGAUGGUGUUUUUUUCAAAAAUACAGGUUGCUUUUAUGUAUCAUAGGUUGGUAAUAAACAUUUCAUUGUACCAGUUAUGUAAAUUAUAAAUUUGAGGUACAUCAUUUAAGCAGGAUUAAUUCAUGCCUGAGUUACUCAUUAAUGCCAUGGUUAAAAUUAUAUACUUAAAUGUACUCAGAACUCUAGAGAGCACCAUUCUUUGUUUGCAUGCACAAGAAAAUACAUAUAAACUAAUCUAAUCAAGGGUUAUUUAUAGUUCUAAUUGUCAAGUAGGUCUUAUCAACAUGAUUUUUGUCAGGUACCACUUUAUAAAUUCAUUCUAGUUUCUAAAUACCUCUUUCGUUGUUGUUAAAUUGGUUUAACAUAGGCUCAUACCUUAUUUAGUCUUUCUGUGCUAUUUAUCAUAUCUUCUAGCAAAAAGUCCAAAAAAAAAAAAAAAGAGAAUAAUCCACAUAUUAGAAUCACAUUAUUUUGUUUUGGAUCCUGGAAAACAUUCAUUAUAGAAAUAUUCAUUCACCCUGGCUCCCUCAUUUCCUACCUGGAACAUUGGAAAAGGCACUUAACUUCUCUGUACCUCAGUUACCUCACAAAAAAUGAAGCUAAUAAAAGCAGCUCACUAACAAAGUUCUAUGGUAAGGGUAAAAUUAGUCAGCAUAUGUAAAAUAAAGCAAGCAUUAUGUUAGGUGCUGCUACCAUCACUCUUAAUUCCUAUGUGACAUAGAUAUUCCUCAAAAGACAAAAUUAUAUCUAGUACCUCUCUAUAUAGAUACUGUGUAACCUUUUGAUGUCUUAUCACCUCCUACCAGAAAAGAGUAAAAAUGUAAAUUCCAUGGUAAUAAUGUCACAAAUUAAUACUAAGCCUGGACUAUACAUAAAUACCUUAAAAAUGAUAAAAUUCAGCCCAGCAAUCUGAAUAUAAUACACUAUGGGAAGCAUGUUUGUAUUACAGUUAAAAUGUAAGAAAACACACACACACACACACAAAACAAAAAUGAAACCUAUGAUGUGUUGCUUAACAUUUGAUGGAUUCCAUCUUGGGUGACUUAUUUUAACUUUGGAUGAAACAUGGGGUCUAAUUUCAAAUCUAGUCAUUGAAAAAAAUCUUAGUAGGACUUUAAUCAGGUUUAAGUUAUGAUAGUAGCCAUGGAAAGUGAGGAUGUAAACACAUUCUGACAGAAUAGAAACAUGAGAUUAUUCCUUUUAAGAGAAUUGCAUCUCUUUCCCUUAAAGGACAUUAAAAACUUCAACAAUUAUUUCUUUAGGAGGCAUUACUCUCCCCACAACUCCAUCACAGUUUUCCUUUAGACAAGUUCACAUUCCACUUUUUACAGGGACAUUUAUCUCUGUAAAAAAUAUGGGAUAUGUUAUGGCACUGUUGUUACACUGGACAGAUCAG
This 4717-nucleotide long non-coding RNA is filed under the name Sus scrofa (pig). RNAcentral's name for it is "lncRNA (ENSSSCG00065066787.1)". Lineage: Eukaryota; Metazoa; Chordata; Mammalia; Artiodactyla; Suidae. The record is from RNAcentral.